This 250-nucleotide ribosomal RNA is filed under the name uncultured bacterium. Its description in RNAcentral is "partial 16S ribosomal RNA". It matches the Rfam family "Bacterial small subunit ribosomal RNA", at positions 524 to 773 of the family's 1533-position model. The record is from RNAcentral.
UACAGAGGGUGCAAGCGUUAAUCGGAAUUACUGGGCGUAAAGGGCGCGUAGGUGGAUGAAUAAGUUUGAUGUGAAAUCCCUGGGCUUAACCUAGGACGUGCAUUGAAGACUGUUGAUCUAGAGUACUGUAGAGGGUAGUGGAAUUUCCGGUGUAGCGGUGAAAUGCGUAGAGAUCGGAAGGAACACCAGUGGCGAAGGCGGCUACCUGGACAGAUACUGACACUGAGGCGCGAGAGCGUGGGGAUCAAAC